UACCCCCAGUCAUGAUGCGACCGAGCCCGAAAGGGCGAGACGUGCCGAAAGGCGCAAGAUAACUCGCUGAGCGUUAACGGUGUAGGAAUCGAUGAAACGGUGAAUCCCUGCGGGUGCAAGCCAGAACAGGGUAUUGUGGCUGCUCAGGCACUACCCGGGUAUGGCGCCGAGCUGAAUGCCGCAAAGAACAGAAGGGGGCUUACUCCUCCCACUC
This 214-nucleotide RNase P RNA is filed under the name Methanoregulaceae archaeon. RNAcentral's name for it is "partial RNase P RNA component". It matches the Rfam family "Archaeal RNase P". From Rfam's summary of the family: Ribonuclease P (RNase P) is a ubiquitous endoribonuclease, found in archaea, bacteria and eukarya as well as chloroplasts and mitochondria. Its best characterised activity is the generation of mature 5'-ends of tRNAs by cleaving the 5'-leader elements of precursor-tRNAs. The record is from RNAcentral. Lineage: Archaea; Methanobacteriati; Methanobacteriota; Methanomicrobia; Methanomicrobiales; Methanoregulaceae.